This 465-nucleotide ribosomal RNA is filed under the name Vreelandella stevensii. RNAcentral's name for it is "partial 16S ribosomal RNA". It matches the Rfam family "Bacterial small subunit ribosomal RNA", at positions 338 to 795 of the family's 1533-position model. The record is from RNAcentral. Lineage: Bacteria; Pseudomonadati; Pseudomonadota; Gammaproteobacteria; Oceanospirillales; Halomonadaceae.
CCUACGGGUGGCUGCAGUGGGGAAUAUUGGACAAUGGGGGCAACCCUGAUCCAGCCAUGCCGCGUGUGUGAAGAAGGCCCUCGGGUUGUAAAGCACUUUCAGUGAGGAAGAACGCCUGGUGGUUAAUACCCAUCAGGAAAGACAUCACUCACAGAAGAAGCACCGGCUAACUCCGUGCCAGCAGCCGCGGUAAUACGGAGGGUGCGAGCGUUAAUCGGAAUUACUGGGCGUAAAGCGCGCGUAGGUGGCUUGAUAAGCCGGUUGUGAAAGCCCCGGGCUCAACCUGGGAACGGCAUCCGGAACUGUCAAGCUAGAGUGCAGGAGAGGAAGGUAGAAUUCCCGGUGUAGUGGUGAAAUGCGUAGAGAUCGGGAGGAAUACCAGUGGCGAAGGCGGCCUUCUGGACUGACACUGACACUGAGGUGCGAAAGCGUGGGUAGCAAACAGGAUUAGAUACCCUAGUAGUC